AAAAUCUCAAGAAUAAUGAAAUAUGUUAUGUUGUGAGUGUUAGAAGGAAAGGGUUCAUUAAGAUCUUAAAAUUAAGCAUUAUAGAAUACCGUCAUUUGAAAAGAACAAAGUGGAGAGUGAUUAUGAAGAGAGAAAGAAAAAGUGAGUGGGGUUGAAAAGGUUCGAGUGUAGAGGAAGAGAGUAGAGUACAAAAAGAGUCUGAG
This 203-nucleotide long non-coding RNA is filed under the name Lathyrus oleraceus (garden pea). RNAcentral describes it as "Pisum sativum (pea) long non-coding RNA (PSAT_LNC002728)". Lineage: Eukaryota; Viridiplantae; Streptophyta; Magnoliopsida; Fabales; Fabaceae. The record is from RNAcentral.